RNAcentral lists this ribosomal RNA (501 nucleotides) under uncultured Glomeromycotina. RNAcentral describes it as "partial small subunit ribosomal RNA". It matches the Rfam family "Eukaryotic small subunit ribosomal RNA", at positions 591 to 1092 of the family's 1831-position model. Lineage: Eukaryota; Fungi; Glomeromycota. The record is from RNAcentral.
CCAAUAGCGUAUAUUAAAGUUGUUGCAGUUAAAAAGCUCGUAGUUGAAUUUCGGGGUUUAUCCGUUGGUCGGGCUUUCGGGUCUGUACUGGCGUGAUGGAUUCCUACCUUCUGAAUGACCAGCAUGUCAUUAAUUUGGUGCGUUGGGGAAGCAGGACUGUUACCUUGAAAAAAUUAGAGUGCUUAAAGCAGGCUAUAGCCUGAAUACAUUAGCAUGGAAUAAUGAAAUAGGACGCAUGGUUCUAUUUUGUUGGUUUCUAGGAUCACCGUAAUGAUUAAUAGGGAUAGUUGGGGGCAUUAGUAUUCAAUUGUCAGAGGUGAAAUUCUUGGAUUUAUUGAAGACUAACUUCUGCGAAAGCAUUUGCCAAGGAUGUUUUCAUUAAUCAAGAACGAAAGUUAGGGGAUCGAAGACGAUCAGAUACCGUCGUAGCCUUAACCAUAAACUAUGCCGACUAGGGAUCGGACGAUGUUAAUUUUUUAAUGACUCGUUCGGCGCCUUACG